Molecule: ribosomal RNA, 392 nt
Filed under: uncultured bacterium
Lineage: Bacteria
Description: bacterial SSU rRNA
Rfam family: Bacterial small subunit ribosomal RNA
Source: RNAcentral
GACGAACGCUGGCGGCGUGCUUAACACAUGCAAGUCGAGCGGUAAGGCCCUUUCGGGGGUACGACGAGCGGCGAACGGGUGAGUAACACGUGGGUGACCUGCCCUCCAGCUCUGGGAGUAAGCCUGGGAAACCGGGUCUAAUACUGGAUAUGACUCCAUGACGCAUGUUGUGGGGUGGAAAGCCUUGUGCGGCUGAGGAUGGGCCCGCGGCCUAUCAGCUUGUUGGUGGGGUGAGGCCUACCAAGGCGACGACGGGUAGCCGGCCUGAGAGGGCGACCGGCCACACUGGGACUGAGACACGGCCCAGACUCCUACGGGAGGCAGCAGUGGGGAAUCUUGCGCAAUGGGCGAAAGCCUGACGCAGCGACGCCGCGUGAGGGAUGACGGCCUGG